RNAcentral lists this long non-coding RNA (350 nucleotides) under Pan troglodytes (chimpanzee). RNAcentral describes it as "long non-coding RNA NONPTRT009620". The record is from RNAcentral. Lineage: Eukaryota; Metazoa; Chordata; Mammalia; Primates; Hominidae.
GGGGAGGGGGGUGGGCUCGGCUCGGGUCCGCGGCGAUCAGGCGCUCAGGCCUCUGCAGCCGCGGCUCACCCGCAUGGCCCCCGGGCGCCGCCGCCCCCGGCCCCGGCUCCGUCGCUGGGGGGCAGGGGAGGACCUGGGCGCAGGACCUGGGUCCGAGGCCGCUACCUGGGCGGAUCCCGAGCCCGAGUGAGCAUCCACGGCCCGGGGGCUGCGUUGCGAACCAGCCGAGGCGUCUAGCCGUGUGGGGGCGCCCAGGGGACUCCAACCUCCAAGAGGAAAAGGAACACGGCAGUCGAUGGGAAUGAAAAAUGGGCGCUGGCGGCCGGAGGGGAGCCCUAUGGAGGCAGCGG